CAGGGUCCGUAUGCACGACCGGCAGCGGGGUACGGCCACGUAGCGAGCGAGCGAGGCUACGUGUCUAGGAGGCCUCAUCUCGUAAGAGCCGUGAGACACUCGCGUGUUCCGUUAUGUGGAGGACAGCCAAGCGACUGGAGUUACAGAAGAGGAAGGGAGGAGAGAAGGAGAAAGAAGCGUCUGAGCUGGCAAGGUCUCCUGGCAGCUCCAAGAGCGAGAGCUGUGCGUCACCUUCCGCGUCACACGAAGAAAAUCCCGCGUGGGUAAUUCCGCUUGCUGCUCAGCGUUCUAGCGAUGGGUCGUUUCUACUGGGGCGAAGCAUCGAGAUGCGGUUUUCGGUGUAAAGCGUCAGAAACUACAUUCACCGAAACCGCUGGAUGUCAGCUGGCACCGUUUCGCCGUGCUUGCCCUUUCUUCUGCCAUGACAAUACGAGACAGAUGGAAAGAAUCCAUAGUGGUCUGCAAGUACAAGCGUGUCAUUUUGACUUCAGUUGGAAAGAGAUUUUCCAAAAUGGAAGUCUUUGUCACUCAAAGAAAUUUUCUUUUAUGAACUUCCCAUCAGAGUGGAUCUUCAGAGGUGAUCGACUUGACAGUAGAAGUCAUCAGUAACAAGACUUUUCACUCUCUUUAAAAAGAGGGGGGGAAAAAAAAAAAAAAAGUCAAUUUCCUUCCAAAGACCCAAGCACAGCCCAUCUUCCUAAAGUUGAUGGCAUCGCUGGUCUUUGGUUUCUCAGUUGUAACAGUCGCGACAACAUGAAAAUGUGUUGCUCUGCGUGCUUCAGUACUGCCAAAAGCAUUAGGAAAUCCGCCAGUCCUUUUUGGUAGUCUGAGGUAUUGCAGCACUGGGGAUUUUACAAAUUGACCUGCAUUGUUUAAAGUGUAACUGCCAAAUAGCUGUAGUAUAUCAUUUAUGAGGUGUAUGUAAGCAGUUAGGUAUUUUUCUAAAUGUUUAAAAAGAGAGGCAACUGAAUGUUGUGGGUUUUCUUUCCUGACGUUUUGACGGAGUGCUCUGAAGUACUUUCUUUCUGUCUGGCUUUCAAUGGUGUGUUUCCCUGGCAGUUCAGUAGCACCUCUCUUGGGCAGCGCAGCUGGCCAGGUGUUCCUCCUCAUUACGUAACACACACAAAAACCCCCUAGUCACAUUAUAACUGUGUACUUUGGAGAUAGAUAAUUUAACGGUAGGAAUUCAGAGCUGUGCAAGUUAAGGUAAUGCAAAAGGAAAAUCAAAUACUUUUACAGUAUAAGUAUUCUUAUUGGAUGUAUAUAAACGUGGGCACACCCUUUGAGUGUAAAGUGAAUUAUUGAGAUUUAUUCUUUAUUUUUCAUUUUGCUCUUUGAAGUUUUCCACUUCACUUUCAGCUUUAUUCACCAAACAAGCAAGAUGCAAAGCAGCAGCAGCAGCGCAAGGGCUGUAGCUGUUGCGGUGGAUCCGUAAGCAUAGAUUCUGAUUGUGUACGACCUCGUCCCGCAGCCUCCCGGGGUUCUCUCCCUGCAGCAGUGCUGUAAGGAAGGGAGGAGACGUUUUCCAACCCCGGCAAGAGUGUUUACUUGUGUGCUAAGCAGGUGUUCAAAAUGGUAUCAAUUAGCCUAAAUGCUGAUUUUAAGUGUUCAAAUAGCUCUUAACUUUUAAAGGAGGGUGGUGUAUUUCGAGCUGACCUGUUUACCUGGAAUCCUCCUUUAGCUCAGCGACUCUCCUUGUGCACCCCCAGCCUCCGCUGGCAGGGCGGUAUGAGAAGCUGGAAGGUCCUUGACUUAGUAUAAACCCUGCUUAGCAACAACUAAAGCGUCGGUGUGUUGUCAACGUUAUUCUCGUCCUAAAUCCAAAAUGGCCCUGUACCAGCUACUCAGGAAGAAAAUUAACUUUAUUCCAGCCAAAACCAGGACAACCCCAAACCCCCCUGAUUCUGGGUCUGCAACAGGGAAAAAAAACAAACGAAUUUGGGACUCCUGGGAAAGCCAAAUCCGCCUGGAUCUGUGCAGCUGGAAAGGAAAAAAUCCCACCCCGUUUUCACGCGCAAAACCACAA
RNAcentral lists this long non-coding RNA (2026 nucleotides) under Aquila chrysaetos chrysaetos. RNAcentral's name for it is "lncRNA (ENSACCG00020014395.1)". The record is from RNAcentral. Lineage: Eukaryota; Metazoa; Chordata; Aves; Accipitriformes; Accipitridae.